Molecule: ribosomal RNA, 467 nt
Filed under: uncultured bacterium
Lineage: Bacteria
Description: partial 16S ribosomal RNA
Rfam family: Bacterial small subunit ribosomal RNA
Source: RNAcentral
GACGAACGCUGGCGGCGUGCUUAACACAUGCAAGUCGAACGGAAAGGCCCUGCUUUUGUGGGGUGCUCGAGUGGCGAACGGGUGAGUAACACGUGAGUAACCUGCCCUUGACUUUGGGAUAACUUCAGGAAACUGGGGCUAAUACCGGAUAGGAGCUCCUGCUGCAUGGUGGGGGUUGGAAAGUUUCGGCGGUUGGGGAUGGACUCGCGGCUUAUCAGCUUGUUGGUGGGGUAGUGGCUUACCAAGGCUUUGACGGGUAGCCGGCCUGAGAGGGUGACCGGCCAUAUUGGGACUGGGAUACGCCCAGACUCCUACGGGAGGCAGCAGUGGGGAAUAUUGCACAAUGGGCGGAAGCCUGAUGCAGCAACGCCGCGUGCGGGAUGACGGCCUUCGGGUUGUAAACCGCUUUCGCCUGUGACGAAGCGUGAGUGACGGUAAUGGGUAAAGAAGCACCGGCUAACUACGUG